CACAUCUCACUCUCUCUCUCUAAAUUCUUGCACCAAGAUUGUUGUUUCAAAUAAGAUUUGUGUAGGAAUCAUUGUUAGCAUCAUCAUCAUCUUCAUCACAUAUCAAAAAAUUGGGUAUUUUCAAGUGCAAGAACUUCCAUUUUAGCUCCAAAUAUCGGAUUUGAGGUUCUGGGUAAAAUUGGAACACGUUAAUACACAAUGCCAAAAGAUUGACUGAAGUAAAAAAUGAUACUAAGUCUUGAAAUUCUUGGUACCGAUUAUCAGGAUGCACAGUCUGAAUUCGGUAGGAUCUUUCCAGGUUUAGUGGUAGAGGUUUACAAUGCAGUUAAAGAUAUAGUACCAGCAGGAGAUCUUGGAAGUUUGACAUCUUAUUACGUAUGAUUUGAAAAUGUUUUGAUGCAAUCGGGCCGGCUAUGGGACGAGCAGUGCUUGCUUGUGGAAGAUGUAGACCAUUAUUGUAUUUGAGUUUUAGUUUAUUAUCAAGACUAUAUGCUAUGUUUAUCUAUAUUCGAGUUGAUGAGGAUCUUUGACGUUUUGUCAAUGGAUUAAUCUUUAGUUUU
This is a long non-coding RNA of Erigeron canadensis, 560 nucleotides long. RefSeq lists it as uncharacterized. The transcript has 2 exons. The record is from RefSeq and is a predicted model, not a curated record. NCBI's taxonomy places the organism in Eukaryota, Viridiplantae, Streptophyta, Magnoliopsida, Asterales, Asteraceae.